RNAcentral lists this ribosomal RNA (301 nucleotides) under uncultured bacterium. Its description in RNAcentral is "partial 16S ribosomal RNA". It matches the Rfam family "Bacterial small subunit ribosomal RNA", at positions 509 to 807 of the family's 1533-position model. The record is from RNAcentral.
CAGCCGCCGCGGGAAUACGUAGGGCGCAAGCGUUAUCCGGAAUUAUUGGGCGUAAAGAGCUCGUAGGCGGUUUGUCGCGUCUGCCGUGAAAGUCCGGGGCUCAACCCCGGAUCUGCGGUGGGUACGGGCAGACUAGAGUGAUGUAGGGGAGACUGGAAUUCCUGGUGUAGCGGUGAAAUGCGCAGAUAUCAGGAGGAACACCGAUGGCGAAGGCAGGUCUCUGGGCAUUAACUGACGCUGAGGAGCGAAAGCAUGGGGAGCAAACAGGAUUAGAUACCCCAGUAGUCCCUGUCUCUUAUAC